This 468-nucleotide ribosomal RNA is filed under the name uncultured bacterium. Its description in RNAcentral is "partial 16S ribosomal RNA". It matches the Rfam family "Bacterial small subunit ribosomal RNA", at positions 28 to 507 of the family's 1533-position model. The record is from RNAcentral.
GACGAACGCUGGCGGCGUGCUUAACACAUGCAAGUCGAACGGAAAGGCCCUGCUUUUGUGGGGUGCUCGAGUGGCGAAAGGGUGAGUAACACGUGAGUAACCUGCCCUUGACUUUGGGAUAACUUCAGGAAACUGGGGCUAAUAACGGAUAGGAGCUCCUGCUGCAUGGUGGGGGGUGGAAAGUUUCGGCGGUUGGGGAUGGACUCGCGGCUUAUCAGCUUGUUGGUGGGGUAGUGGCUUACCAAGGCUUUGACGGGUAGCCGGCCUGAGAGGGUGACCGGCCACAUUGGGACUGAGAUACGGCCCAGACUCCUACGGGAGGCAGCAGUGGGGAAUAUUGCACAAUGGGCGGAAGCCUGAUGCAGCAACGCCGCGUGCGGGAUGACGGCCUUCGGGUUGUAAACCGCUUUCGCCUGUGACGAAGCGUGAGUGACGGUAAUGGGUAAAGAAGCACCGGCUAACUACGUG